AUAUGAUUCUCAUCAUAUUAGAAUUAUAAUGUCAUUGUUGGCACCUUUGAAUGUGGAGCGGGCAGUGUGUGUCGCUGUCAUUGGUUGGAAAGAGGUGUAGACACGGGUUGUAUUCCAGUUACUGUAUAAUUGUUAUUGGCAUAUAUGACAAGAAUUGUAAUUAUUAUUGAGAUACAUAUAUUGUUUUCUUACUUAUUAACAAGUUUGGUAUUGGUUAGUAAUGUGUAUUUGUUUGUCAAGAGGAAGUUUUCUUUUAGGGUCUGUGUAUGUAACACGGAUAUAUAUUAUACCGCACUCAGGGUGUAGGGGUAAGGUAGGCAGAGGUACAGUUGGUGCCUGUCAGGGGUGAGUGGCGGUUGUUUGACUGAGCAUAGUUGGGGUAAUGCUGUAAUCAGACAUGUGGUGAAGUCUGCCUUGGCUGAUGAUGGGCGGUCAUUUUGCUGAAUCAAUCAAUAAAUCAAGAUACAGCAAGUCAGCCCAAUCAUAGUCAUUAUCCUACACUACAAU
Molecule: long non-coding RNA, 507 nt
Filed under: Portunus trituberculatus (swimming crab)
Lineage: Eukaryota; Metazoa; Arthropoda; Malacostraca; Decapoda; Portunidae
Description: uncharacterized LOC123515928
Source: RNAcentral